RNAcentral lists this long non-coding RNA (1213 nucleotides) under Oreochromis niloticus (Nile tilapia). RNAcentral describes it as "lncRNA (ENSONIG00000033986.1)". The record is from RNAcentral. Lineage: Eukaryota; Metazoa; Chordata; Actinopteri; Cichliformes; Cichlidae.
UGGAAGGGCUGGAGUUAAAGUGUUAAGCUAAAAAAAUGUCAAAUAAAAAUAAAUCAAACAUAUGCAGCAGUCCGGCGACGCAGCGACCUAUUGUGGAAGUUAGCUGACAGCAAUUGUCCCCAGCUCCGAAUCUGGAAAAAAAAAAAGAAAGAAAAAGAAAAGAAAAGAAAUGGAAGCCCUCCGUGCAAACAAAAAUGUUGACAGAGAUCAAAAUAAGGUGCUCGACGGUGACCCGGGUCCAAAGUCCAGUGAGGCUCGACUGAGAGGAUACUCAAAGCUUCCACCGACACAGCUCUGACAGAGGCUUCCACCGUCUGUCAGCUGUUGGGAACAUCAUGGAGCGCGGUGCAAUCUGGGAAAUGAAGUCAUAUAGGUUACACCAACGUGCACUCCUCUGUCGUCCGUUCGUUGCUCACGCAAGAAAGCGAAUGAAGAAAAUGAAGAGCAACGAAAGCCAUAGAAUGCAUGGAGGCAGAAAUGAAGGAAUAACAAUUUGUUACUGCAAAGUCGAAGCCGAGGGAAAAUGUAACUGUGUCUUACACCAGUCCAAAUAUCAGCUGCACAUGGUAGCACAUAGAAAUCAGACAGUGCAGAAGUGAAAAACCACGUAGAGGGAUUAGAAACCUCACUCUGGCUGUUUUCGUACACCACUGAGUCGGCCUCAAAUCACUUGAAGCUAUUAAAGUCAAAAUGAACAACUUUGGUUCGACUUAAAAUAAUCUGUAACCUGGUUGUAUUAAAAUGUUAUGUUUAUUAAUGCACAUACAGUAUAUGCGAGUUCUUACAUUUAGAAUCAUGGGUUAAGAAAGGUGACGCUGAUAAGUAGUCUCUUUAUGUUUGAAGUUUAAUCAAUAUUUACUCGCAAACAACACAUGUCAAGUUGGACAGACCUAAAUCCUGACUGAAACACAAAAGAGACUUACUAGGAAAUCCGACAAGCUUAGAUUGCUAUAUGAAAUAUUAAAAUGUAAGUCGAUUAAACUAAGCAGCUUGUUGAAUUGUCUUAUCUUUUCAAGGCGGCACUGUUACUUUCUCACAAAUAUAUUAGAAGUACAUGUAACAGCCUUCCUGUAAUGGAAUGAAACAGACACAAAGUCUCACUCUCAAGCUAUUGUUGUUGUUGGUCCACCACUUUGUGAAUUCAGCCUUGCUGUAUUAACAGCACAGAUUUGAUGAUGAAAUGCCAGCAGGACACCACGCCAAUUUCAGCUCC